UGAGUUUUGGGGCUUUUAAGCCAUGUUUAAGACCAAUCUUGAGCUUGAGGUCCAGAUCUGAGGUUGCUACCUCAGAUCCAUGUUUAUUUUGGUAUGUAAUCCCAUAAAGUAUCAGCCAUUGGGUGGAAAUUGGAGUCUCUUGGUCCUAAACCUUAGCUAUGGGUGUAUUUUGCCUAGAUCUCACUCUCUACACGUAAAGGUUGCAACUUUACGUGGGAAAUAGGCUUGGGGAGGGUAGAUCUAUAGUUUGGAGCUCAUGCAUGACUCGGAAGUCCUCUGCAUGUAAGUGGAUCUUAGUGGACUCGACGAGUCCUUCGAGUGGACUCGGCGAGUAGCUUGAAGAUGAGGAGGAACUCGACGAGUAGGAUGAACAGCUCGUCGAGUCGGAUGAAGUUAGGCAUGGACUCGGCGAGUUGGAUGAACAACUCGACGAGUUGGUUGAAGAUUGUCUAGGACUCGGCGAGUCUGUUCUUGGACUCGGCGAGUCAGAUCGCGAAACCCUAAACCCUUUGAGUUGAGACUCGAAUCAGUGAGUCGGGUGGUGACUCAGCGAGUUGGACAGGUCAGGACUUGGAACUAGUUGGACUCGGCGAGUCAUGGACUGACUCGGCGAGUCGGGUCGCGAAUAAGAAAGACCCUGAGCUUAUGAACUCGGCGAGUCUUUAGGAAGACUCGGCGAGUAGGGUUGACCUGGAAGGUUGACUUUGACCAGAGUUGACUUAGUUGACUGUCAGACUAAGUGUUAUAUGUAUAUUGAUAGCUCGGAGAGCUAGAGGAGCAGCGGUUCAGGGGAUUGUCGAGUAGCAGCCAGAGGUUUAUCAGCAGGGCUCAGCAGUUCAGGUGAGUCUCCUUCCAGUAGGAAUGGGUCUAAGGCCACAAUGCCGGCCCGUUUAGCUAGCAGUAGUUUUCGGAUGUUGAUCUGAUAUAGUAGUUAGUAUGUUUGAUGCCUUCGUGGCUCAGACAGGAUUUAUGUGUUAUGUGUUCCGGGCUACGGCCCGAAGUAGUAUGCAGUAUACGUGUGUUCAUGCUAGUUGAUAUGUUUAUUUUAUGUUCUGUUCAGUUAGCCCGGACUUCGGUCCGAUGCAGGGGACAAGGUCCCAGUCAGUUUCCGGACUUCGGUCCGAUGCAGGGGGCAAGGCCCCAGUUAGCCCGGACUUCGGUCCGAUGCAGGGGACAAGGUCCCAGUUAGUCUGGACUUCGGUCCGAUGCAGGGGACAAGGUCCCAGUCAGUUUCCGGACUUCGGUCCGAUGCAGGGGGCAAGGCCCCAGUUAGCCCGGACUUCGG
RNAcentral lists this long non-coding RNA (1285 nucleotides) under Lactuca sativa (garden lettuce). RNAcentral describes it as "long non-coding RNA (LSAT_LNC003942)". The record is from RNAcentral. Lineage: Eukaryota; Viridiplantae; Streptophyta; Magnoliopsida; Asterales; Asteraceae.